Molecule: ribosomal RNA, 304 nt
Filed under: uncultured bacterium
Lineage: Bacteria
Description: partial 16S ribosomal RNA
Rfam family: Bacterial small subunit ribosomal RNA
Source: RNAcentral
CAGCAGUAGCCGCGGGAAUACGUAGGUGGCAAGCGUUGUCCGGAAUUGUUGGGCGUAAAGGGCUCGCAGGCGGUUUCUUAAGUCUGAUGUGAAAGCCCCCGGCUCAACCGGGGAGGGUCAUUGGAAACUGGGAAACUUGAGUGCAGAAGAGGAGAGUGGAAUUCCACGUGUAGCGGUGAAAUGCGUAGAGAUGUGGAGGAACACCAGUGGCGAAGGCGACUCUCUGGUCUGUAACUGACGCUGAGGAGCGAAAGCGUGGGGAGCGAACAGGAUUAGAUACCCCAGUAGUCCCUGUCUCUUAUAC